UGGUCAAUAAUUUUAUUAAAAAUUAGUUUCAAACAAACAUUUGCAUAUAUAUUUAUAAAACAUUCGCCCGCCUGGCCUGCCAUAAGUAAUAGGAAAGGAUUUUACGUGGUUUAACCAUAGUUACCCAGUACUCUGGAGAUCUUUUCCCAAUCGAAAUUGUAUUCGUGAAUAAAUCUCCUACCCGAACUCCUGUUACAGUUUAUGCCGGCUAUAUAUAUAUGAAAUUAUCAAUUCAACAAAAAUCACAAAUAAUCAUAAAAAAUAUAAUGUUUCUUUUUGUAAUAUUUUUAAAGACAAUGUUUUUAAGUAAUGAAACAAUUUCACCUGUAACAAAAAGGAAAUUUGUCCUUUCAUAAUUUCAUUACACAGUUUUCUUAAUGAUUUAAAUACCUUUUUAAUCGUUAUAACAGGGAGGAUGGAUGUGACGUCAGAGGAUAUUACGCAUGGUCUUUACUUGAUAAUUUUGAGUGGGAGCAUGGAUAUUCUACUAGGUUCGGCCUGUAUUAUGUUGACUACGACAACAAUCUCGAGCGGU
This 535-nucleotide long non-coding RNA is filed under the name Brassica napus (rape). RNAcentral describes it as "long non-coding RNA (BNAP_LNC003899)". Lineage: Eukaryota; Viridiplantae; Streptophyta; Magnoliopsida; Brassicales; Brassicaceae. The record is from RNAcentral.